This is a long non-coding RNA of Suricata suricatta (meerkat), 352 nucleotides long. RefSeq lists it as uncharacterized. The record is from RefSeq and is a predicted model, not a curated record. Lineage: Eukaryota; Metazoa; Chordata; Mammalia; Carnivora; Herpestidae. The transcript has 2 exons.
AGUAGAAUUUCAAUAGGCAAAGGAGAAAUCCACUUUUAGUUAUAAGUGAGACGAAAUUUGGCCAAAGAACGUCAAACACAGUGCGGAUGAUGUGUUCGGGCCCCAGCGUGCUGUGGGUGGGAGGUGCACGGCUGAAGAAAACUCCACUUUCCAGCCCCCUUGUGAGUUCCGGUGGCGAUUCGGCCGAGCUCGAGACAGCGAUAAGAAAGGGAGUUUUGGGCUGAAGUUUCCAAAAAGCUCCGCUGAUGUCAGCGGGAUGCAGGCUCACUGCCCACAACACCAGGACUCGGUCCACUUCAAGAGCACAAUUUCUCUGACAUCAUAUGUUUUAUUAAAAAUUCUUGCAAAUUGU